CUAGAGAACACAGAAGGGGACCUCCUGCUAGCCAGAUGAGGGGUCCUGGGCUGAGAGAAGACAGAUGCUGACGGAGCAAAGUGACUCCACAUAGUUCCCAAAGCACUCCCUUCUUGGUCCUGGGAAGCUGUCUGCAGGAUGUUCUUCGCUCCUUUGAACAAGCUGAGAAUACACAGAGUUGUGAUCUCCUGAGCGCUGUGGCGCACACUGAUGCAUCUAAGGCAAGUUAGGCCUGGCCAAGACUUCCUCCUUAGAGACAACUCACUCUCACUUAGGAAGAGAGAUGCCUGGCAUCAACAAGGAGCAAACUGGGUUUAACUUGGUUUUCAUGCACAUGGGUUCAAUGGGAAAACUCCUUUUGGAAUUGACCACAGUCCCUAGAAAUGCCUAGAAAUCCCAUCCUCUUGGAGAAAGGGAAGGCAGGACACAGAACUUUAGUUUUAGUAGGCAGACACUAAGGAACCCUACUCACUCAGCCUCCCUUAGGGAGGUCUCAAGAAGUAAGGCACUCGGGCUACUAAAUGGUGGGAGGUUUGUGGACCUGGGCCCAAGUGCCAGGCAAGAGGCAUGAUCCCAUCAAGAAAGGCCUUUCUGAGCUAUGGAAAUUCUACUGGAAUUUGGACGCCACCCUGAUUAACAUCUAGCACCGACUUGGUCUUUGUCAUUGGUUUGUGGUUGUUUUUUAUGGAGGGUGGGGGUGUCAUAGAAAAUAACAGAUGUUGCCCAUUUUCCCAACCACCUCCUGCACUUCCUGUUGGAUAUCAGCCAGUGCUAGUGAAAUUUCAAGUGUUCAGUCUGAAAAUUUUAACGCCCUUUUAAGUCUGAAGAACGAAAACAAACCAUGUGGCUCGACCCUAGAGUGAACUACUUUGGCUUUUCUUCUCAGUGAUACAUUAAUUAGUAAACAACAUUUGGAAGAACAGGAAAAUAUUCCGCUGGCUUUCAAAGUAACUGCAGAGGGGGUUGACAGACUUUGAUCACUUGGUCAAAGAAAGCAUAGAAAAACAAAAAACAAACACGUGUUUCAGCAGGAUCUAAAAAUUGUUCACAGGGCCCUAAUAAAUGAGAAUUUAUUUCUUGAUGUAAUAUCAUAAAGUCUUUAUGCUGCAUAAAAAGAUAAUUCAGUAAUAAUUUGCUAAAAAAAAAUGACCCAAAGUCUCUCUCUCUGUCAGCAAAACUGUUUCACGGUGGUAAAUACAUGAGUUGAACUCAGACAGGGUCCAGCUUCCAAAUUUAAGAAAAGUGUUUGCAAGAAGGAUUUAUUAAAUUAACUUAUCCAGAGGGGGAAAGGGGAACUUUGAAAUUUUUAAAUUCUCAUUAUUUUUCUCAUUUCAAAAGUACUGUGAAAAAAAUGUGGAAAUUAAGCAAUUCAAAGACACAAGUAAAGGUAAAAAUAAAACAGUAAUUCCCUUUCUACCUGGAAGAGAGGUAUUGUCAUGAAUGUGAUACAGUUUUCACAGAAAAGGAUCAGAAUCUAUGUACUGUUUUGAAAACGACUCCUUUGUUCGAAAUGAAAUCUUAAUUUGUUUCCAAAUCAACGACAGCCAGCUUUUUCGGGUGUCUUUGAUUACAAGGUGAGAACAGUGGACCAGGUGAGUGGAUGGGCAUUUUCCUAAAGCUGGGCAAAAGCGGUGCACAGCUCUUUAUUUUAAAUAAUGUCACUAUGAAUUAGAUUUUAUUUAUUUAUUUAUUUAUUUUACCUUUACUCUGAGAUGUAUGCUUGAUUCAUGACCAGCCCGCAGAGGGGAGAGGUUAGGGGAGGUGUGGUGCAGAGGAGAGGUUAGGCAAGGUUUGGGUGUGACACGUUGGUUUCCUCCUCUUCCUUCUCCUUUCUGUUUUUUGCAGAUCGAGCACUGAGAGGUCCUCACCCCUACAGCACUAAUGAACGCCUCAUCUCUCCUGGUAGAUUUUACUACAUGUGGGAAGGGGGUUCUAGAGCCCCACUGAGAUGGUCAGGGAAUCCCUGGGGGUGAAAAAGAGGUGGGAUUUCCACUCUAGGUCCUUCAGGCAAAGAUAAAUCAGCAUAGCCUGUCUCUUGGAAGGAGUGGUGGGGAAAGACAGGUCAUCACACACACACACACACACACACACACACACACACACACUCCCAUCACUGCAUGGUCAACACAAAGGUUUUAGGGUGAGGCUGGACAUCAGCAGGAAGCUUCCUGGUUUCACUGAGGAAUACUUGUCUAAUACUGGGCUGAGUGACAGUCUUUUCCUGCAGUCUGCUGGGGCCACAGAGGAACAAAAGAAAGCCAGUUGACUUUUUUUUUUAAAAGUGGACAAUGAUCCUAUCAGCACCAUUGAAAAGGAAAGAGGAGAGGAGGAGCAAAAGUAGGAGAGGUCUGAGGUCAGAGAGUGCUGUUCCUGCAGAAUCUGUCUUGAAGGGGUGAUUUCAUGGUCUGUAUGGAAAUGCAGGAUAGAAGAAUGCAGGAGGAUUCAUUUUCACUUGUUAGAGAUAGCCGGUUUUACAGCUAAAGCAAAUCUCUAGCCAACUGUUAACAACUCAGCUAUUCUAGGGAUAGCGGUGAGGUGAGAAACUGGCACCCAGUCUUCUCCUUUCCCCACAUUUGGAGAAAACAAAGGAUUAGGUAAAACUCUUCUCAUUCUUCUCAUUCUCCACCGUGACCAGAGGUUCGCAGAACUGUUGAAACUAUAUUUAACUGGAGACAAGUCAAUCCAGAAGACACUUGCUCACACAGCAACCUUUCUGCUAGAAAGUGAACCUUCCUGCUAGGAAAAACAAAAAACAAACAAACAAACAAAAAACGCGCUGUUUUCACUUCAUUCUUUCUUAGUUGGAUUCCCUCAUCCGCUGCCUGCUGUUCUACUAGAGAAUGACUGUGCUGAAUAUGAUUUAAAGUUUGAGCAAGGUAGGAUGUCUCUGUGUCCAACAAUUCCACAGAGAGUAGGUCAUAGGCUAGCGCCCAUAAACAAUAAUCACAAGCUAGGAGUUGGGGUGUAUGCCUUUAAUCCUAAUACCCAAGAGGCAGGCGUAGGUGGAUCUCUGUGAGUUUGAGGCCAGUUGGGUUGACAUGGUGAGUUCAAGGCCAGCCAGGGCUAUGUCCUAAGAGACCAAUGUCAAAAAGAAAAGAAAAAAAUAAGAAAAGGAAAGAAAAGAAAAGCAUCAUAAUUUUCUUGAACCAAAGAAGUGAUUUGCUAGUGAUGGACUGGAAUCCAUGAUGAGGUGAGAGCUGGUGGGAGGUUUUAUCCGGUGGAUUUAUUUCUGUUAUGGUUUGAUUUGUACAAAGUGUCUGUCUCCUCUUGAAAUUCAAGCCUUUUAGGAAACAUGUAAAAAAAAAAUUCCAUCCUUGUCCAUAGGAGUUCGUUUCUCUUGGUAAAAUGCCUUUGUGAACCCUCCUUUUUAUUCAAGAUCCUGGGGCUCUUUUCUUAUGCUCCUGUUUCAGCAUUUGGAGCCACGGAGGAGUCUGUGACAACGAAGGAAUGUGAAGGAAAGGUUAACCCUCAUGCCGACAGACUUUCCUUGGCAGAGCUGUGGAGUGUGACAAUGGUGUUUGUGUCCAAACCAUCAAACGCCAUUAUCACACUAAAUAGCUACCGCUAGGCAAUCCGUCUACUCCAUACGUGACUUGACAUCUGUUCUCUCCCAGCAAGAAGUUUUGUCUUAUGCUAACGCUCUCCAUUGUGUGUAAUUUAUGAAUAAAAUCUGGUCCUCUUGUGCUCACAACUGUA
Grammomys surdaster is the source of this 3696-nucleotide long non-coding RNA. RefSeq lists it as uncharacterized. Lineage: Eukaryota; Metazoa; Chordata; Mammalia; Rodentia; Muridae. The record is from RefSeq and is a predicted model, not a curated record. The transcript has 2 exons.